UGACGUCCCUCACGGGGGACCUGCAUUUCAUGCUGCAGGCACAGGUACCUCAGCUCAUACACCGCACAAGUAGGAGCCAGGUCAUACAGCUAUUGUUGGUGAGCUCCAGUUUGCUUCGGAGCUUUCCGAGUCGGUUCCUUAUGUUUUAUUAUUGUACAUGAGUCAUGUGUGGGCGGGGGUUUGUCUCGACCCUAGUUAUGUUAUGUAUAUCCUAGAGGCUUUG
This 223-nucleotide long non-coding RNA is filed under the name Capsicum annuum. Its description in RNAcentral is "long non-coding RNA (CANN_LNC014116)". Lineage: Eukaryota; Viridiplantae; Streptophyta; Magnoliopsida; Solanales; Solanaceae. The record is from RNAcentral.